UACGUAGGCAGCAAGCGUUGUUCGGAUUCAUUGGGCGUAAAGGGUGCGUAGGCGGCGCGGUAAGUCGGGUGUGAAAUCUCGGAGCUUAACUCCAAAACUGCAUUCGAUACUGCCGUGCUUGAGGACUGGAGAGGAGACUGGAAUUUACGGUGUAGCGGUGAAAUGCGUAGAUAUCGUAAGGAAGACCAGUGGCGAAGGCGGGUCUCUGGACAGUUCCUGACGCUGAGGCACGAAGGCCAGGGGAGCAAACGGG
This 253-nucleotide ribosomal RNA is filed under the name uncultured bacterium. Its description in RNAcentral is "partial 16S ribosomal RNA". It matches the Rfam family "Bacterial small subunit ribosomal RNA", at positions 524 to 776 of the family's 1533-position model. The record is from RNAcentral.